CAGAGUUCAUGCCCUAACGGGUAGACCUCCCACCCUUGUGUAUUUAUACUUUGUUGCUUUGGCGAAUAGUGCGUCUGACGCACCUCAGCCCUCGGGCUGUGAGAUUCUCUUGUUCGCCAGAGGAUACCAAACUCGUAUUUAUUAGUGUCGUCUGAGUACUAUAUUAAUAGUUA
This 173-nucleotide unclassified non-coding RNA is filed under the name uncultured fungus. RNAcentral's name for it is "sequence contains ITS1, 5.8S rRNA gene". The record is from RNAcentral. Lineage: Eukaryota; Fungi.